UACGUAGGUGGCAAGCGUUGUCCGGAUUUACUGGGUGUAAAGGGCGUGUAGGCGGGUCUGCAAGUCAGAUGUGAAAUUUAGAGGCUCAACCUCUAAACUGCAUUUGAAACUGCAGGUCUUGAGUGAUGGAGAGGCAGGCGGAAUUCCUAGUGUAGCGGUGAAAUGCGUAGAUAUUAGGAGGAACACCAGUGGCGAAGGCGGCCUGCUGGACAUUAACUGACGCUGAUGCGCGAAAGCGUGGGGAGCAAACAGG
This 253-nucleotide ribosomal RNA is filed under the name uncultured bacterium. Its description in RNAcentral is "partial 16S ribosomal RNA". It matches the Rfam family "Bacterial small subunit ribosomal RNA", at positions 524 to 776 of the family's 1533-position model. The record is from RNAcentral.